RNAcentral lists this ribosomal RNA (253 nucleotides) under uncultured bacterium. RNAcentral's name for it is "partial 16S ribosomal RNA". It matches the Rfam family "Bacterial small subunit ribosomal RNA", at positions 524 to 776 of the family's 1533-position model. The record is from RNAcentral.
UACGGGGGGGGCAAGCGUUGUUCGGAAUUACUGGGCGUAAAGGGCUCGUAGGUGGCCAACUAAGUCAGACGUGAAAUCCCUCGGCUUAACCGGGGAACUGCGUCUGAUACUGGAUGGCUUGAGUUUGGGAGAGGGAUGCGGAAUUCCAGGUGUAGCGGUGAAAUGCGUAGAUAUGACUCGGAAGGCCAACGGCGAAGGCAGGUUACUGGUACGCAACUGACGCUGAGGCACGAAAGCGUGGGGAGCAAACAGG